This 283-nucleotide long non-coding RNA is filed under the name Papio anubis (olive baboon). Its description in RNAcentral is "lncRNA (ENSPANG00000048638.1)". Lineage: Eukaryota; Metazoa; Chordata; Mammalia; Primates; Cercopithecidae. The record is from RNAcentral.
AGCUCACAUUCAUGGACCUACACUGAUAGAACUUGGAGGAGUCCACAUUAAGCCUUCUUCAUAGUAAUUGAUGAGGAUAUUGGGGUCCAAAGAGCCAAGUCAUCACUGGGGCUUUAGACUGGGGAACCUGGCCUUGGUAGAACUCUUCAGAGUUGCUGAUGUGCCUUUCCACGUUGGAAUGUCCUUAUUCACAAAGGGACCACAGACAUUUGUCUCCCUCUACUUUCAGGUUUUAUUUUGUUUUGAUCUCACUUAGCCAUCUAAAAUUUAAUGUUAUUUCUUU